CCUACGGGAGGCAGCAGCCGAGAAUCUUCCGCAAUGGGCGAAAGCCUGACGGAGCGACACCGCGUGUAGGAUGAAGGCCCUCGGGUUGUAAACUACUGUCAAGUGGGAAAAGAUUCAUUGCAACUAAUAAGUGCAGUGAUUGAUUGUACCGCUAGAGGAAGCCACGGCUAACUCUGUGCCAGCAGCCGCGGUAAUA
RNAcentral lists this ribosomal RNA (196 nucleotides) under uncultured Pseudomonadota bacterium. RNAcentral's name for it is "uncultured proteobacterium partial 16S ribosomal RNA". It matches the Rfam family "Bacterial small subunit ribosomal RNA", at positions 338 to 525 of the family's 1533-position model. The record is from RNAcentral. Lineage: Bacteria; Pseudomonadati; Pseudomonadota.